RNAcentral lists this RNase P RNA (346 nucleotides) under human gut metagenome. RNAcentral's name for it is "Bacterial RNase P class A". It matches the Rfam family "Bacterial RNase P class A". From Rfam's summary of the family: Ribonuclease P (RNase P) is a ubiquitous endoribonuclease, found in archaea, bacteria and eukarya as well as chloroplasts and mitochondria. Its best characterised activity is the generation of mature 5'-ends of tRNAs by cleaving the 5'-leader elements of precursor-tRNAs. The record is from RNAcentral.
GGUCGUGCGACUGCAGGCGAAAGCGGCAGCGUAAGGAAAGUCCGGGCUUCACAGAGCGAGGAUAACGGAUAACGUCCGCCGAGGGUGACCUUAGGGAAAGUGCAACAGAAAAGUACCGCCGCGCCGCACGGCGCGGUAAGGAUGAAAAGGCGAGGUAAGAGCUCACCGACGAGAUGGAGACAUUUUGUGCCGUGUAAACCCUAUCCGAAGCAACGCCUUCGGGAUCGAAAGCGGUUUUGCUUUCGCUGUUGGCUCGACAGAAUUCCCGAUGGCGGCAAAGAGCUUUGCGGCAACGCAAAGACAAGAUAGAUGACCGUUCACGACAGAACCCGGCUUACGGCUCGAU